AGUGAACGCUGGCGGUAGGCCUAACACAUGCAAGUCGAACGGCAGCACAGUAAGAGCUUGCUCUUACGGGUGGCGAGUGGCGGACGGGUGAGGAAUACAUCGGAAUCUACUUUUUCGUGGGGGAUAACGUAGGGAAACUUACGCUAAUACCGCAUACCACCUACGGGUGAAAGCAGGGGAUCUUCGGACCUUGCGCGAUUGAAUGAGCCGAUGUCGGAUUAGCUAGUUGGCGGGGUAAAGGCCCACCAAGGCGACGACCCGUAGCUGGUCUGAGAGGAUGAUCAGCCACACUGGAACUGAGACACGGUCCAGACUCCUACGGGAGGCAGCAGUGGGGAAUAUUGGACAAUGGGCGCAAGCCUGAUCCAGCCAUACCGCGUGGGUGAAGAAGGCCUUCGGGUUGUAAAGCCCUUUUGUUGGGAAAGAAAAGCAGCAGGUUAAUACCCCGCUGUUCUGACGGUACCCAAAGAAUAAGCACCGGCUAACUUCGUG
This 492-nucleotide ribosomal RNA is filed under the name uncultured bacterium. RNAcentral's name for it is "partial 16S ribosomal RNA". It matches the Rfam family "Bacterial small subunit ribosomal RNA", at positions 29 to 507 of the family's 1533-position model. The record is from RNAcentral.